RNAcentral lists this long non-coding RNA (2002 nucleotides) under Ananas comosus (pineapple). RNAcentral's name for it is "long non-coding RNA (ACOM_LNC019950)". The record is from RNAcentral. Lineage: Eukaryota; Viridiplantae; Streptophyta; Magnoliopsida; Poales; Bromeliaceae.
UAUUAUUUCAGUUGUUAUAGCUUAGAUAGUUAUAUGGUUCAGUAUUUUUAUUACAUUUGAAAUUAUGGAUUUUCGUGAAUGUAAUAAACGGAUUUCUGGAUUUUGUAAAAUAAAAGGUUUUCUAUCCCUCGUGGUAGCGUUUUUAAAGAAUAAAGGUUUUCGUGUAGAAAACAGUUUUCGAAAGGUUUUCUGUGGAUUUUGCAUCUUAGUAUUUCAAAACCUGUUUCUGUGGUUGGAAAUAUUUUAACUGAUAGAUGUGGAUUUAUGUUUAAAUAUCGAAUACAUAAAUGUGAACCUGUGAUGUGAAUGGUGUAUGAAUAUAUAAUUGUUGGUUAUUUGUAUGUUCAUUUGGUUGUGGUUGUACCUGGGUUACUUCUUGUACUUGUGUGACGCCGUGCAAAUACAGGGGAGAUUCUGUCCGUGUGAACAGUGGAUUCCCUAUGUUUGUGGCGGAUCUGGCAUACUCUGGGGUCAGGCUUUUCAAAAAAAAAAAAAAAAAAUUUCAGACGCUUUUCCGCUAUGUUUUAAACUAAAUGGGACCCCGGGGCGUGACAACGGCGGGACGGCAGAGGUCGGGGCCGCUGCCAGAGGUGGUGCCCGAGGGUUAUGGUCACCCAGGUAGGUUCCACGGCAGGGAUGGUAGGGAGAGAAGGUUGAAGGGGUGGCCGGGAUUCAUGCUUUCCGGCGGCCGAGGCACCUGCCGGCGGCCGGGGUGCGCGCAAGGUUGGGCAGGGACCUGCUGAAGCUGGUUAGGGCACAGCUGGGAGGCAAGGUCGGCUAGAUCUAGGGUUUCGUGCAAAGAAACCCUAGAUGCUAACUAUAUACAAGAGGACAAUUUGCAGAAAACCCCUCUGACCCAGAAUAUUUAAACCUCAGCCCCUGCCAGGGCGUACAAUUUGCACGUACAUACCUCCACGUCCGAUCUCACGCGAUUCGAUACAUAAAAUGUCGCGCCUUUCGCGAAUUUUCCGAAUUGCCACCUUCGACCUCUUAAUGAAAACUUCGCAAUUACCAGAGAUCCGUUCGUCGGAUUUUCGAUCCGACAGCACCAUUGCGUUCAGCACGUCGGGGGCAUCAAAACUACAAUCUUAUUUCGUCAGAUAUGGUCACGGAUUCGCAACGGAACCCAUCCGCUCUCUAAUUAAUCCAAAUAUCGCACACAUACCAAUGUGUAACCCAAUAAACCAACUUUCACAUAAGAAAUUGACUUCCCUACUACUAGUAGGGACUCGAAACAUUCUUCACCCUACUACAGGUCACAAGCACGGAGUACGAGAAGCUUUAGAAUGCACAGAAAAGCAAAGAGCGGAAACCCUCUUUUCGGUAAAACUCCUUUUUCUCGAAAACCGUGCAUCAGAUCAGAAAUCCGUCAGUGCCAUUGGUUCCAGAAUAGUUGAACCGAUCAAAACGAGCUAUUGGACUGAUAUGAACGGAGUCCGAUACGCACCAGAAGCCAACUCUACCCUGUGGCUUCUCCGGAAAACCGAAGUUACUAUUCACUUAAGUGAAAACUAAAAAUCGCGUAUCUUCUCCAUUUUAGCUCAGUUUCUCCUGAAACUUGACGAGUGCUUAUGUAAUUAAAUUACACACAUAAACAUCAUCAACAGAGAAUUUAGUUGCACUGUCAAAAAUCUCAGUCCUUACAUAAAAGGUUUUCUACCCCUCGUGGUAGCGUUUUAAAGAAAGAUAAAAGUUCCUGUGUAGGAACAGUUUUCAAAAGGUUUUCUAUGGAUUUUGCAUCUUAGUAUUUCAAAACUUGUUUCUGUGGUUGGAAACAUUUUAACUGAUAAAUGUGGAUUUAUGUUUAAAUAUUGAAUGUAAAAAUAUGAACCUGUAGUGAAUGGUGUGAAUAUAUAACUGUGGUUAUUUGUAUGUUCAUCUAAUUGUGGUUGUAUCAUGUUUGAACUCUUGUACUUGUGCGACGCCGUGCAAAUACAGGGGAGACUCUGUCCGUGUGAACAGUGGAUCUCCUGUAUUUGUGGCGGAUCUGGCAUACCCUGAG